AGAGUUUGAUCAUGGCUCAGAAUCAACGCUGGCGGCGUGCCUCAGACAUGCAAGUUGAACGAUUAAAGCUCUCUUCGGAGAGUGUAUAGAGUGGCGCACGGGUGAGUAACACGUAAGUAAUCUACCCUCGAGUGGGGAAUAACAACCGGAAACGGUUGCUAAUACCGCAUAAUGCAGCGGCACCGCAGGGUGACAGUUGUUAAAGAUUUAUCGCUUGAGGAGGAGCUUGCGGCAGAUUAGCUAGUUGGUAGGGUAACGGCUUACCAAGGCUACGAUCUGUAACCGGUCUAAGAGGACGGUCGGUCACACUGACACUGAAUAACGGGUCAGACUCCUACGGGAGGCAGCAGUCGGAAUUUUGGGCAAUGGGCGAAAGCCUGACCCAGCAACGCCGCGUGAAGGAUGAAGUAUUUCGGUAUGUAAACUUCGAAAGAAUAGGAAGAAUUAAUGACGGUACUAUUUAUAAGGUCCGGCUAACUACGUG
This 484-nucleotide ribosomal RNA is filed under the name uncultured bacterium. RNAcentral describes it as "bacterial SSU rRNA". It matches the Rfam family "Bacterial small subunit ribosomal RNA", at positions 8 to 507 of the family's 1533-position model. The record is from RNAcentral.